UACGUAGGGUGCGAGCGUUGUCCGGAAUUACUGGGCGUAAAGAGCUCGUAGGUGGUUUGUCGCGUUGUUCGUGAAAACCGGGGGCUUAACCCUCGGCGUGCGGGCGAUACGGGCAGACUUGAGUACUGCAGGGGAGACUGGAAUUCCUGGUGUAGCGGUGGAAUGCGCAGAUAUCAGGAGGAACACCGGUGGCGAAGGCGGUUCUCUGGGCAUGUCCUGACGCUGAGGAGCGAAAGCGUGGGGAGCGAACAGG
This 253-nucleotide ribosomal RNA is filed under the name uncultured bacterium. Its description in RNAcentral is "partial 16S ribosomal RNA". It matches the Rfam family "Bacterial small subunit ribosomal RNA", at positions 524 to 776 of the family's 1533-position model. The record is from RNAcentral.